This is a long non-coding RNA of Cyprinus carpio (common carp), 489 nucleotides long. RefSeq lists it as uncharacterized. NCBI's taxonomy places the organism in Eukaryota, Metazoa, Chordata, Actinopteri, Cypriniformes, Cyprinidae. The record is from RefSeq and is a predicted model, not a curated record. The transcript has 3 exons.
CAGAUGUAAGAUUAAGUUCUCCUUUGGUAAUAAGCAGCCAAUGAAUUCUCACGGCAUCUUGAAUUGGAUGGUUAUCCUCAUGGUGAACCAGUCAAUAAAUCGCCUGUCAUCAGAGAAUCCUUGUGCUCGUGAAAUUACUGGGGGGAGCUACAGUGAGAAUUCAUCUGCUCUUCACGGGUAGGAGAAGGAACAUUUCCAAACAGCCAUCAAGUGAGCAUCAAGUUAACUCCAAGUUCCAUCAUUCUGGAUUCUACAAGCACUGUAUACACUGGUAACCAAGAAGCUAGUGACAUGCACACCCACAGAGUUUAAUGGCAUUGUCAAGUUAAGGCCAACAAGAAGAUAAGCACAACCAAGUUCAAGUUAAGUUCUCACGGCAUCUUGAAUUGGAUGGUUAUCCUCAUGGUGAACCAGUCAAUAAAUCGCCUGUCAUCAGAGAAUCCUUGUGCUCGUGAAAUUACUGGGGGGAGCUACAAGUAACAUUUAAAA